UGGGGGAUAUUGCACAAUGGGCGAAAGCCUGAUGCAGCGACGCCGCGUGGGGGAUGAAGGCCUUCGGGUUGUAAACUUCUUUUGCUCUGAACAAGGCGAACCAUGGGGUGUGUUGAGUGUAGGGGUUGAUUCGCGCCGGCUAACUACGUGCCAGCAGCCGCGGUAAUACGUAGGGCGCGAGCGUUGUCCGGAAUUAUUGGGCGUAAAGGGCUUGUAGGUGGCUGGUUGCGUCUGUCGUGAAAGCUCAUGGCUUAACUGUGGGUUUGCGGUGGGUACGGGCUGGCUUGAGUGCAGUAGGGGAGGCUGGAAUUCCUGGUGUAGCGGUGGAAUGCGCAGAUAUCAGGAGGAAUACCGGUGGCGAAGGCGGGUCUCUGGGCUGUUACUGACACUGAGGAGCGAAAGCAUGGGGAGCGAACAGG
RNAcentral lists this ribosomal RNA (419 nucleotides) under bacterium. Its description in RNAcentral is "partial 16S ribosomal RNA". It matches the Rfam family "Bacterial small subunit ribosomal RNA", at positions 355 to 776 of the family's 1533-position model. The record is from RNAcentral.